GACCACUGACCAAACUCCACUCCAAGCAGUCCCGAGAGCUGCUCUUCCCCUUGCCCACGGAUGCCUCCGCUCAGAUCCCAGAUCCGCUGGGAUCGCGCCGAAACUUUUGUGCCGGAGCAGAGCACUCAUACAAGCACAGAGUGGAUUUUGCACGUUUCAACCUUAACCUUAACCAGCAGCUCCCUUUCUUCACGUGGAAUGGGAAGGACUAUCAGGAAUAACCAGGAGCGUGCAGGGUGCCUGAAGAGCCUGUCUUGUCCCCAGUGUCCUCAAUUGCCAGAGCCCAGCAGGUGCCAGAGGGGUAAGUGGGAGUACUCAGGAGCUCCACGUCCACCAGUUUCACAGCCCUGCAGCCUGUGGCCACCACAGCACUCUCUGAUGCUGCCCAACCAUCCUGUCUACUGCCACACAAACAAAACCCACAGGAGAAAGCAAGGUAUGGGAACAUCGGAGCUUUCUACAUGUAAGGGGACAAGGGGAGGGGAUCACAUGUCUCCACAGUCCCAUAAACCCAUGUCCAGGACACUGCAGUGCCAGCUGCCUGGCUCCUGGCUAACAGACAACAUGGCAAACUGCUAUUUAGCCUUUGUCUCCAAGACAGGAUAACAAUAUUAUUUGUCCCUUUGCAUUCCUGCAAGGCCCAGUGCCGUUGGCCUCUUGUAUCAUAAAGAAAUUAAAAUAUAUUAUGACCAUAAACUACAUCAUUUGAGGAAAUGAACCAUUUCUAGUAAACGUAUCAUGGGACGCUGAAGCCAUGAACUUUUCUAAAUCAAUCGCCAGCUGAUAAAGUGCGCAGGUAUUUGCUGGGAGCAGCUCACAGCACGUGGCUCCCAGCACGGCGCUGACGUGGGGAGCUCGUCCCGCGGGAUGGUGGCUCAGGGUACAGGCUGUCCUAGGAGGCACAAACCCCACCACCGGCACAAGCCCUGCUUGGGGCGGGAGAAUUGCUCAAGCAGGAGGAGCCCCAGGAUUUUUGCUGUGCCCCGGGGUCGUGCCAGGGCUGGGGUGGUGUUUUGUGGAUGAGGCUUCACGAGGCGCAGCGCUCCCAGGGCUGGGGAUGCUCGAAACAUGUCUGAGUGCCUGCAAACCCCCCCACAGCACCCUGAGCCCAGUCAGCAUCACCCCUGCCUCACCUCCGUGCCUAGGGCCCCCGGGCUGAGCACGGAGAUGGCCAGUGGGGGACCUGCACUGGAGGUGGCCACAGAGGGGGACCCAGAAAACCUUUCUAGUAAAAGCUCUAUGCAACCGGCAAGGCUUGCAUUGAAACUGUUUUUCUCUUAGUUGCUUUUAAGCUUUCCUCAUGAGGGCUGGGUAAGUCCUGCUGGAGACCUCUUUGGCUAAGGAGCAGCAGCAAACAGGGCAGGACCAGGGCAGGAUCCGUCCCCGGGCAGCAGUGCCAGACACGGGGAACUGGGCUGAGAACAACCAGUUCGUUUCCCAAAUGGUGUGGGCAGUCACCGGGGUAUCUGUGGGAUGCCUGCCCGGCUCCACCACCUCUUUCCUCAGGGAGCUGCAGCACCCACUCCACCGUGCCACCCGCAUCGGGAUGUCUCUCUCGAGAGCCCCAGAACCUAGCCUGGGGACGCUAGGCAUCGCCACCCACAAACCUGGCACGUUCAUGCUGCACAAAGCCAAACAGAAACCAGAGACUUGGGGGUCCCUUCAUAUGGGGACCAGCAAUAGGUCUGUGGGGGAUGAGCCUAUUUCAGCUGCUCUGAAGCCCCCCUGGACACCCCAUGGUGGGGUUGCCGAUGCCCUUCAUUCACAGAACCUCUGCAGCGCUGGCUACGCCGCUACUUCUCUCCCUGGUGCGAGUGCCAGGGGGAGCACGGGGGGUACCUGGUGUUUCCUGGAGCAGGUCGUAUCUGCUGCCAUUCAUCUUCCAGGGGCGCUCAGCUCUGCGGGCAGAACUAGGGGAGUCUCGCCCUCGGAUGGGGCCGUGCAGCUGGCAAGACCCCCGCGGGCUGCGGGGCAGGAGCCAUGCCCGGGAGCUGGCUGUGGUGCGGCGGCAGGGACCAGCUAAUCCCUUAAUGCUGGUCACAAUGAGAUUUGAUGGGGAGCAGGAGUUUUUGCCGCAGAGACACAGGUUUUAAAGGGUUAUGGCCACUACCCGGAGGGGAAUUAUAAGGUGGCUCCAGGUUUGUGGCCCGGUGCCCGGCAGUGAUGCCUGCUGCUUUCUGGGCCACCUUUCUGAGGUGCCCUCACCCUGGCCUCUGGCCUGUCGCUGCAUUUCUGUGGGGCAGGGGGUGCCUGACUGCACAUGCAGCUCUAAGAGGCUGCUCCAGAAAAUGUGCCUUGAUGUGUGUAACAGCGGGAGCGGGUCAGACUCCCUCUCCGGGGAGAGGCUGGCCACUUUCACUUUAAAAUGUUUCUAUAUAAAUACCCAGAACACCAUAUCCUUGAGAAACAACCUUUGUCUCCCCUCCCAGCUGCCAUCACGACAUGCAGGGCCGGGAGAAGCGAGGACGGAGCAGGGUAGCAGUGGGGAGCGGCACACGUGGUGCUCCCCAUCUUUGGGCAGCCCUGGGCUUUGUCCCCUGCAGAGCCCGCAGAGCAUCUCCAAUGGUUCAAACCACCCUGGGGCAUCGCUGCUGGAGCCUGCCGGUGGCUCCCCAGGCACCUGCCUGCUCUGUGCCAACGCCCUCCUCUCCCAGGGCAACUGGGACCUGGAAAACUCUCAGGAUUGAGAUUUCUUAAUCGAUUGUGCACAUUGGUGCUGUCAAUGGGGAAUCCAGGAGCCUCCACGUCCCAGAGAGCCCGAGAUUUCGGGUAGUGCCUUGCAGGCAAGCCCAGCAGGAAGAAAAGGGAUUUUGCAACUGCCAGGCUACAAAAAAACCCUCUCUGCCACCAAAGCACUCUCUGCUUUUUUUUGGGGAGAUGAAGCUGCUGUGACAUUCUCAUGUCGACUCAUUUGGCCCCGGUCCAGAAGGGAGCACAGAGGCCACUGAGCACCAAGAUUUUUCUCCUGUGCGGGGAGUGAUGUGCUGGCGUGUGUGGCCAUGCUUAGCCAGGAGGAGGGAAAUUCAGUGAGGGAUUAGAGUGGCACUUCCCUGGGUUUUCACAGGCCCGGAGCAAUGAAUUCAAUGCUGUGAGGGAGAACAGGACACCUUUGCAAUGCAGCCCCGUGCUGCACGGCCGUGAUCCCGACCAGGGCGGGGAGUGAGUGUGGCCGUGCUCAGCCUCUGUGCCUGGAGGAACUGCCUGCGGGGCCAAGCCCAUCUGAAACACCCAUUUUCCUGCACUUUCCUUCCUCCUUGGAUGGCGUUCCUCCUGCCAAGUUCGCCUCUGCUUUUGUUGUGCCAAGGAGUAGAGAGUUCGUUCCUGCCCUCCAGAGAUGUCGGACCCCAAGCCCUGUCUUGAAGGCACGAGUCUAAUGGAGCAAAACCAUUCCGAAACAGUUCCCGUCCUGUCUCCGUGAGUCUCCGCUCCCAGCCCACGCUGCUGGUGUUCAUACGAAUUAGUUUGGAGCACACAGGGCUGCCAGCAGCUUUCAGAAGGCUCCUGAUGGAUCAGGGGUGGGAAAUGACCCAGCUGGUCCGUACCUCUGCUCCGUGCCCUGGAAGGGCUGUGCUGGUGGCGGGGGCAGAUGCCCAGUGUGACCAGGCAGGGCCAGGAGAAGCAUCAAGGACAGGACUGGCUCUGAACUGGGCAUAACCCCAUGACACAUCCCUUCACCACUCUGUUUCCUCAUUGGCUUUAACGCCUGUAACAGGGAAACACACCCAGGUCAACAGAGGUUUCUCCCAGUCGGUGGCAGUCCCCGGUCACACACCCAUGGACGAGCCAUGGCAGCACCCGGCUCUGCUUCCACCAGGGUGUCCAUGCGGUAGCAAAGCCACCACCUCCAUCCCACCACCAUUUAGUCCUUGAAGGCAGCAGACUCUGGGCAGGGGAGCAGCCAGGGCUGUGGGUCUGAAGCCCGGCUGCUUGCCACUCCUGCCUCCUUAUCCCGCCCUUCAUUUCCCGGUGCCACCUUUGCCCUGCCAGCGCCAGACUCUCUGCGUGGGCUGGAUCCCCCAGGCACCCAUCAGUGCCUUCUCUGCUCCUCCCUGCUGCGGCAUCUUGACCAGCGUGAGCCUGCCCGUCCUCAGAGCAUUACUUGAUCCUGCUCACGAGCGGUGGCGACUGCAAACAAGAGGCCACACAACUUGCUGGAUGGGGACCCACAACGCAGCAAGUUGGUUUUUUUCCAUGGGGUGGUUGCUCUUUUCUGCCUUCCACUGAGCCCCGCAGUGUUGCCCUGUCCAUUAACCUGACACCCUGCCCAGCCUCGCAGUCUGUAGCCAAAUUUCCUUGGGCGACAUUGUCACCAGUGAAUCCUCUUCCCAGGCUGGGCUGUUGCUUUUCACCGGGGGUGGUGGGGUGGAGCCUGCCAUCCUGAUGGACAUGAUGGGUGGGAUGCAGGACUUGUCUGGUCGGCUGGAAGCGGUGGGCAGGCUGGCACGCUGGAGAUGAGGAGCAGCAGCAGCUUUUAUCAUAGGGUGUCAAGGCUUUGGGGACAAAAUGACAAGCCUCCCCUAUGAACAGAGGGGGAGAGAAGUGGACGAGCGGGUCGGGAGGAGCCGGGCUCUGCAGCCUCCACGAACGGUGCUGGGCCAUAGAACGGUGCUGGGCCAUAAACGCAGCGCGGUGGCUGUCGUUUAUGUGUCAGCAAACACAUCGAGUGGGCUCGACUAUUGAUUCUGACUGCAUAAAAGCGUGUUGUGGCACUUGUUCAGGUUUGCGCAGGUUUUACAGCUCUUGUUCUGAGAAGUGCCCAUGUAUUUGGUUUUGCUCCUUCCUUCAGGUCUAUCUGUUGACAUUGGCUCUCUUAACCAGAACGUUGGGCCAUGCCAGGAAGCUGAGUGUAUGGCUCUCCCCGUGUUUCCCACUUUCCCAGGAGUUAUCUCCUAUAAAAUCUCACACACGCCCAUGGCCAGGGCAGGUUUCUGGUGCAGAGGCAAGUGAAAGGUGCCUGCUGGUCCAACGUUGGUGGGAUCGGGUGCCCCGUACUUGGUGGCAGGAGCUGAGCCACCCAUCCUGAUGGAUGAGUUUGAGGGUGGAUGGGCAAAGCCAUGGGUAGGGUCCCUCUCCCAGAGAGGGAGAAGGUGUCAGAGCUCCCAGGGCAUCAUCACAGAGGAGAUCAUGGUGACACACAGCAGGUGGCGCAUGAUAUUACUCAUUCCCCAUCUCCAGUCCUCUUCCCAGUGGGAGAUGCCAGCACCAGCUGAGCCUGCAGGGACAUCUUGGUGCUGGCAUCUCAGAGGGCUUGAGCCCACAGUGAUGGUCCCCAUCUGCCUCUCAGCAACCGGAGCUCCUAGUACCACAGGGCCACAGGCAGAGUCUCUCCAAUGGCUGGAGCAUUUUGGGACAGAAAGUCUGGUUCAGCCAGAAAGUCUGGUUCAGCCAUGCAGACCCCCAGCGUUUUGGAGCCAGGAUCCAUCUGCUUCCCGUCUGCUGGUGCCUUUCCAUGAGCCUCUCACUCUGCACGGAGCUGCUCCUCUUGCACGUUCGGUGCGUUAUCCAGAGCACGGCAUUAUGUUUUGAGGCAUGUAUUUCCUGAAGGGAUUUGAUGGGUAGUUGCUGUUGGUGCUCAGGCUGAAGCCUGGGCAGGAGCCGUUCCUGGGAGUGAUUGCUUCUGGGACCUGGCUUAGCUCGGAGGCCCCGGUGGGAAUGUGGUGCCUGUGCCCAGCGCAGGCGAGCAGAGCUGUCAGCCCUGGCUCCACGAUACAGCCACUACCUUGAAACUUGCCUUCCAUGAAAAUUCUGCAACAUUUGCCGUUUCCACAAAGAUUUCUGCCAGAAACCUUGUUUGCUUGAAUAUUUGAGGAAAGCAAACAGAGAAGGAACCUGAACACAAACAGUCGCAGACCUUUUUUUGCAGUCUUUGCCCCCUUCUAACCCCAAGCCCACUGUCAGUGACACUUGCAGGUGUGUCCCCUGCCUGCCAUACCCCUUGGCUCUGCCAUGUGUGCUGCCUUGUCCCCUGCACUGGCCUUGGCCCUGCUGCAAAUAUUGUUGUAUUUAAAGGAAAAUCGUCCAGAGCUUGCUGUCUGCCGGACCACCACCACCACUCACCACCCCUUGCACUCACUUUAAAGAAAAUCAGUUUUUAGUGCCGUUUAAGAAAUGUCGGCGGAAGAAUAACCGCGCACGUCUGACUUGCAGACCUACCCCUGCCCUGCGGAGCUCAAAAUAGCUCUUGGGCGCUCCUCAAGCCUUCCCCAGCCUCGCGCUGCUCGCCUCCCAGCGCUGGAGCUCGCUGCCGGCUGAGAGCAGCCCUCUGUGCUCACUCCCCCGUAUAAAAAUCCCUUCGGGUUUUCCAGCGCGGCCAGAGGUGAGGGUGUGCUGCUGGCCAGACGAGCGGCAGGGGUGAGGCGGCCGCCCUGGCGAGGUGAAGUCGCAGCCCUGCGGGGAAGCACAGCUGCCCUGCAACACCCCAGCAGCAGCCCUGCGGCCCCCCACGCCAUGGGGAGCAUCCCAAGCUCUUGCCCGGGGCUCUUCCCUCCACCAAGCACCAGCAAACAGCACUCGGGACCAGGCCACGGCAGCUAAAGCAGUGAUUGUCCCUUUUCACCGCAUCUAAAUACCAGUGCUUAUUCCUGGGUGCAGCAAGACCCUGCUCAGCUGUUUCUUGCCCCGGUAAGUGCUGACCCAGCCACCCCCAACAACUGACGCGGACGGUCCUAACACCCACCCAUCCCGACAGCCUCUGGGCCACGGACACAGAGCCCAAGGAGUAAUCAGAGGAAUUAAAUAGCAGCUGACAUGAAAAAUCGAGGGGGGAAAGCUCAGUUUGGGCCGUAUCUAGGGGAAAGCUAUAAAAAAUUAGACCCAUUUGGCAAUGAAAAAUAAUUGCUUUGCAGUGAAAAAUAAAAAUACUUAGAAAUUCUGCCCCCUUUUAUGUUCUUCAGCUGAAACUAUUCACCACAUCUGACCAAAAAGCCUGAGCAGCUCUGACGUCUUGCAUUUUUCAGCGCAUUUCCAAAGCUGCUUUAUGGAGCCGGCCCCGAUCAUGCGCCAGCCCCUGCUGUAACCACCGGCCCCGGGAAUCCCCGGCUCCAAGAGCUGUGCCCGAAAUACGAAGGAGCGGUGCUGCCUGUGCUGGGAUUGAGCGUAAUUGCCUGGAUUGUGCCCAAGUUUCAUCAGGAGGAUAAAGAUGGAGCUGGGGGCUUGUCGCCUCCUCGCUGCCUGGGAGGGGCCUGUCCCCUUGCCCCCUCUCCAUCCCCUACCCUCUCACACACCCGUUUGCAGCCUCCUGCGGGGAUUUUGCACCAGCACACCCGGAGGAGCCCUUUCCAGCUCACAGCCCAUCCUCAGCGGGUGCAGAUGAGGCACAAGUCAGUCCUUGCGAGCUCGGUGGGUCAGGAGCCAUGUCCCCCGCAGCAGCAGAGAGGGAGAGGCGUCCCUUCCUGCACAACGCCUGCCUUGGGGCGUCAGCCUGGAGGAUGCUCAGCACCUGCUUCUGCUGGGCCAGCCCGCAGGGGUGUCCUCGCUCCGGGACCUGACCCUCUGUACGUCGCAGAGGCAUCAAGCCUUCCUUCUACCCGCCCACGAGCAGCCUUCAUCGCGUGGCUCCUUGCACAUCGUCUGAGCAGCACCAGCUGGACACAAAACCACAACCUGCACUGAACAGACCAAAAACUCGGCGUUUUUGUGAGCCUGGCUUUAUGCGAGGCCCUGUCCUGCUGCUGGCUCCUGCGGCUCAGAGGUGAUGGGAGCUCCUCCAGAGCCCCGGCUGCUGUGGGCCUGGGACGGACAAAUGGGUGACCCACUAAAAAUGGGUAAAACUCAGCAUUUCGUAACUGUUUGACUGUAGCUCCCUACUCCAGCGCGGCCCAGCAACACUAUUGCAGAUCCUAUGCAACACCUGUAUGUUUCCAUCGCAAUGGACCAUGGACCCACCAAAAUGCCGAUGAGCCCCGCGUCUGGCCGUGGCUCACCGUGGGGCCAAAAAAUCAAGUGAACUGGAGAGUACUGAAGUG
Long non-coding RNA from Chroicocephalus ridibundus (black-headed gull), 7964 nucleotides. RefSeq lists it as uncharacterized. The transcript is spliced from 3 exons. The record is from RefSeq and is a predicted model, not a curated record. NCBI's taxonomy places the organism in Eukaryota, Metazoa, Chordata, Aves, Charadriiformes, Laridae.